Molecule: non-coding RNA, 2045 nt
Organism: Anas platyrhynchos (mallard)
Lineage: Eukaryota; Metazoa; Chordata; Aves; Anseriformes; Anatidae
Source: RefSeq, a predicted model, not a curated record
UAAUAAGCCCCUUGCACAUUCCUGCAGUGUUUUCCAGAGAUCUCACAGCAUGAGGCUACUGACUGCGCUCUCACAGCCUUGUGAGCUGACGAGUGGCAUUCAGAAUCCAGACCUUCCGGAUUCCAGCCCUGUCAUCAGCGAAAAGGCCAUCAUUAAGAAGAAAGAAAUUAGUCUGGUCUUAUAAAUAGCAUUUGAAUACAAGUAUUCCUAAAAGAUUUGCAGGCAGUUGACCUUAAACACCAGCAGAGCUGCACAGGCACGGACCGGCUGGCGCAGACCUGGGCCCGGUCCCUCCAACGCCAGCACGUUGGACAUCGCUCUCAUACGGCCACCUCCACCUGGCUUGGGCUCAGCACAUCAACAAGCCAUAAAACUGCUGAAAAAUAUAACGUGUUCUCCCCAAAAAUCACCCUGUGGACAGGAAAAAGGGACAACAAACAAGCUUUAGCCAGCAACUUUCUUCCUGCUGUAUUGAGGCGCCAAGCGACCGACGCCUGACAGAAACCUCACCUCAGCGCACAGCUGCAGACCCCGAACAGAAACGGCUGGUGACACCUGAAAUUUGGAGCACCUAUCUGAGGUAAUAUUUGGUCAGACUUUAGGAUUUGAACUGUUCCUGCUGUGUAUCACACAUUUACUUCUCUUCUUAAUACAACACUACAAAGAAUAAGGGCCUUUUCCGGACUACAGCUUCUAUCACCCGCAGUGGGUCUGAUUCCCAGCCUGUAUUUCUCACAGCAGGAGACUAAGCCCAACCAUGAUUCUGCAACAACAACAACAAAAAAGCCUCUAGGAUCUUACGGAAACAGAGCUUAACCUGAUUUGGAAUUGAGUACUUUUGGGGAAAAACAACCCUAAAAUACCACGUUGAAAAUUGCAGAAGCAGAGUUUAAUUAAAGUCUAAAUAAGACAUUGUGUUGUAAAACAUAAACAAAAUCAUUCCAGUAGUUACUCAUUUUUCCUAAAUUUAGGUAACUACCACCUCCUACCCACCUGGGCCACCAUCAAGCCCUGAACACGUGAGAACGGGAGCUCUUCCUCUAUGGGAAAAAAUUAAAAUAAAAAGCUUGGCAGCUCUUGGGGGGAUCCUGUCACCGAGAAAGCCACACACAAAUUCACACAAGCAAUUAUGAGAAACAACUGCCCAAGCAGAACAACAAGCUGGAACGUUUUUUGUUUCUAUUCCUCACUUUAGGAGAAAAAUGUGGUUACAAGCAGGAAAGGCAUAAAACCCUCCUAUUUGGCUGUCUGCAUCGCAGAUGAACACAGAAUUUCUGAGAAGAUGAAAACACGCCUCUAACACUUCAGCUACAGGCUCCACUCUCCUAAUGCAAAAGCAAAGGAGUCCAAACUCACUGCGUUCUCCACAGGAUGACAAAACUCAUUGCAUUAGCAUGCAUUAAAGCAUCGCCUGAGCGUGGCAAAGCGGAUGAGACCUGACUCUUAACAGAGCCUGUUUCCAUCCCAGCUCACAUUUAGGUCUCAAUUAUCUUAUCUGCUCUGCCACUCGCAUACUUUCCAGAUAAGAAGCGUUUUCCCCCCCCCCCUCUUUUAAAGAAGCUUAGAGUUCAAAUUGAAACCCCAACUAACAUUAAGAUCAAAAACGUUACAAAUUAAAAUUUGAGGCAAUGCUUUUUAAAAACACUCUGCGUACAGGUUAAAACUGGGACCCAGAGUUAGUCGAUGUGCUAUGUGAGCUCUAAUAAAAGCAGUAUGUUCUGCAAGCGAAGAGGGAAUAUUUUCUUGAUUUCAGUUUAUGCACAUGGUUUAGGUCACCGAUCAGUUCAUCUGAAGUUGAGAAACUACUUAAGAGCUGGGAGGGGAAAAAAGCCUGUUUUCCUUUUCCAAUCUAUGACUAAGAAUGAGGCAAGCAAAGGGAGGAUCUAAGAUCCUGAAGGCGAUGGUAACAAGAGGUCAUUAGUUAAUUCCCUCAACUAUAGAUAAUACUUCCUUUUACUAAAUAAGAUCAGUUUUUAAAUUAUGUCAAACGUACCCCCCCUCAUGGUUACAACAUACUGAAACUUCUUCUGACGGAGUCAAAAUAA